This is a non-coding RNA of Phrynosoma platyrhinos (Desert horned lizard), 72 nucleotides long. NCBI's taxonomy places the organism in Eukaryota, Metazoa, Chordata, Lepidosauria, Squamata, Phrynosomatidae. The record is from the annotation of a GenBank genome assembly.
UCCAGUAUGGUGUAGUGGUCUGAGCGUUGGACUAUGAUUCUGAAGACCAGGGUUCGAAUCCUGGUUCAGCCA